AUUGAACGCUGGCGGCAGGCUUAACACAUGCAAGUCGAGCGGGGUGAAGUGCUUCGGUACUGAUCCUAGCGGCGGACGGGUGAGUAAUGCUUAGGAAUCUGCCAUGUAGGGGGGGACAACAUUCCGAAAGGGAUGCUAAUACCGCAUACGUCCUACGGGAGAAAGCAGGGGAUCUUCGGAACUUGCGCUAAAUGAUGAGCCUAAGUCGGAUUAGCUAGUUGGUGGGGUAAAGGCCUACCAAGGCGACGAGCUGUAGCGGGUCUGAGAGGAUGGUCCGCCACACUGGGACUGAGACACGGCCCAGACUCCUACGGGAGGCAGCAGUGGGGAAUAUUGGACAAUGGGCGGAAGCCUGAUCCAGCCAUGCCGCGUGUGUGAAGAAGGCCUUUUGGUUGUAAAGCACUUUAAGCGAGGAGGAGGCUACCUGGAUUAAUACUCUGGGAUAGUGGACGUUACUCGCAGAAUAAGCACCGGCUAACUCUGUGCCAGCAGCCGCUGUAA
Molecule: ribosomal RNA, 501 nt
Filed under: uncultured bacterium
Lineage: Bacteria
Description: partial 16S ribosomal RNA
Rfam family: Bacterial small subunit ribosomal RNA
Source: RNAcentral